AGUGAACGCUGGCGGUAGGCCUAACACAUGCAAGUCGAGCGAGAGCACAGUAGCAACUUGCUCUUACGGGAGUCACGUGGCGGACGGGGGAGUAAUACGUCGGAAUCUACUUUUUAGUGGGGGAUAACGUCGGGAAACUUACGCUAGUACAGCAUACGACCUACGGGUGAAAGCAGGGGAUCUUCGGACCUUGCGCGAUUGAAUGAGCCGAUGUCGGCUUAGCUAGUUGGCGGGGUAAAGGCACACCACGGCGACGAUGCGUAGCUGGUCUGAGAGGAUCAACCGCUAGCCUGUAAGUGAGACUGGGCCCAGACUCCGACAGGAGGCAACAGUGGGGAAUAUUGCACGAGGGGCGCAAGCCUGAUCUAGCCAUAUCGCGUGAGUGCAGAAGGCCUUAUGGUUGUAGAGUGAUUUUGUUCUGAAAGAAGAGAAGCAGUUUAAUAUCGCGCUGUUCUGACGGUACCCAAAGAAUAAGCCCCGGCUAACUUCGUG
Molecule: ribosomal RNA, 492 nt
Filed under: uncultured bacterium
Lineage: Bacteria
Description: partial 16S ribosomal RNA
Rfam family: Bacterial small subunit ribosomal RNA
Source: RNAcentral